CCUACGGGCGGCAGCAGUGGGGAAUAUUGGACAAUGGGGGCAACCCUGAUCCAGCCAUGCCGCGUGUGUGAAGAAGGCCCUCGGGUUGUAAAGCACUUUCAGUGAGGAAGAACGCCUGGUGGUUAAUACCCAUCAGGAAAGACAUCACUCACAGAAGAAGCACCGGCUAACUCCGUGCCAGCAGCCGCGGUAAUACGGAGGGUGCGAGCGUUAAUCGGAAUUACUGGGCGUAAAGCGCGCGUAGGUGGCUUGAUAAGCCGGUUGUGAAAGCCCCGGGCUCAACCUGGGAACGGCAUCCGGAACUGUGAAGCUAGAGUGCAGGAGAGGAAGGUAGAAUUCCCGGUGUAGCGGUGAAAUGCGUAGAGAUCGGGAGGAAUACCAGUGGCGAAGGCGGCCUUCUGGACUGACACUGACACUGAGGUGCGAAAGCGUGGGUAGCAAACAGGAUUAGAUACCCUAGUAGUC
This 465-nucleotide ribosomal RNA is filed under the name Vreelandella stevensii. RNAcentral's name for it is "partial 16S ribosomal RNA". It matches the Rfam family "Bacterial small subunit ribosomal RNA", at positions 338 to 795 of the family's 1533-position model. Lineage: Bacteria; Pseudomonadati; Pseudomonadota; Gammaproteobacteria; Oceanospirillales; Halomonadaceae. The record is from RNAcentral.